UAAGAAAUAUUAUUCCAGGUAUUUUAUAUCUGGUUCUCUAAAAGAAUUAAUUGGAUGUGGAUUUAUUAGGUCAAUAAGUAGGGAUUAGCUUAUUUAUUGAUUAUAUACAUUUAUAAGGUGGGUUUGUGUAUGAAGUUGAUAGUUCUUGUUUUUAAGGAGUUAUUAUAUAACAGGGGUUUUGUAUUAUUGUUUUAGGGUUGUGCAAUUAUUAGGGGUGGAUAUUUAAUUUUUCUUUUUGUGAAAUAAUGAUUAUAUUAGUAAUAUUUUAUUUGUUUUUAGGAAGUGCAUUUAAAGGAGGUUGAUAGUGAUUGAUUUAAUUUUUAAUUAAGGUAAAUGAAUUCGGCAAGGUUAAUUUUUGACUGUUUAGCAAAAACAUUGUUUUUUGUAAGAGUAAAAAGUAAGUUCUGUCCACUGCUAUUAGGGAAAGGGCUGCAGUAUUUUGACUGUAUGAAGGUAGCAUAAUCAUUAGCCUUUUAAUUGGGGGCUGGUAUGAAGGUGAAACAGGGAUUGUCUGUAUUUGCUUUAUUUGUUGAAUUUUAUUUCUGUGUGAAAAAUCAUAGUUGAAUUAGAGGGACAAGAAGACCCUAAUAAGUUUUAUUUUUUUACUUAAUGAUAGUAUAGGUGUAUAUUUAUUUGAUUAGAGGGGGGGGGUUUAGCUGGGGCAGCUAUAUAUUUGACAUAAGUAAUUUUUUAACUUUAUUUG
This 703-nucleotide ribosomal RNA is filed under the name Nannaria scutellaria. Its description in RNAcentral is "partial large subunit ribosomal RNA". Lineage: Eukaryota; Metazoa; Arthropoda; Diplopoda; Polydesmida; Xystodesmidae. The record is from RNAcentral.